AUUAAACGAGGUUCGAUUAAGAUCGCUGCAUCGUGCAGCAACAUCGAACCAACCCACGUCGUGUAGG
This 67-nucleotide small RNA is filed under the name Pontibacillus yanchengensis Y32. Its description in RNAcentral is "Bacillaceae-1 RNA". It matches the Rfam family "Bacillaceae-1 RNA". The record is from Rfam by way of RNAcentral. Lineage: Bacteria; Bacillati; Bacillota; Bacilli; Caryophanales; Bacillaceae.